This is a long non-coding RNA of Etheostoma cragini (Arkansas darter), 4970 nucleotides long. RefSeq lists it as uncharacterized. The transcript is spliced from 2 exons. The record is from RefSeq and is a predicted model, not a curated record. NCBI's taxonomy places the organism in Eukaryota, Metazoa, Chordata, Actinopteri, Perciformes, Percidae.
AUGAUAAUACAAAAAAACGUGUCUUAGUGCUUCAAGUUAGUUUGUCUGUUAGUGACAGAGUGCAAACAAUUAAUAUCCUGUGUCGCUGUCGCCAAUGCUAUGCAGCUGUAACCCAGUCAAGAAAAAUAUAUAUUCUUUUUUUUUUUUUUUUUUUUUUUUAUCAUGUCAAUUUAUUCUGGUUGUCCAUAAAGGGACUUUUGUAGUUUUUUCAUAAGUUUAUUAUUUUUCAUUUAUCCGCUGGUGUAAUCAUCAAUACAUAUAUUCAUUGUUAUCAAGUGAAAUUCCUGAUUUAGCGGCGGGGGGGGUUACAACUUUUGCAAGGAACUGUACCCGUUUACCCCCCAAAGGUCUAAUCCUAGAAUCGCCCCUGGUUCACACGAUUACUAAAAUGGUCCAACAACGACAAAUGUAUAUAUUUAAGUAUUUAUUUGAUCAUGAGCAGCAAAGCCAAAGGAUUUCGUUUGCAACAAGGCUCCAGUCGUCCACAACCUACUUCCAGUUGUACUGAGGAUCCGGUUAAAGGCACAGUUUUGAAAAACGUUGAGGCUUUUAAGGCUUUUUAUUUUUCCAAAACAGAUGGACUGACUUAAAUCCACAACUUGGAGUCCCUUCUUUAAUAAUUCAAAGUUCCAUAUGACAGACUGACUUUGUUUUAAUUAGUUCUUGAUGGAACCUUCUCAUGAAUCUGACCCAUGACUGCAGAAACCUGGAUUGUGUCACUGCUUGCGAUGUCUUCACAGACAUAACUCAGAGGGCAGAACUGAACGAUGUUGGGUGCCUACCUACGCACACAUAUCAGAUUGUGAUGAUGCAAUUCUUCUGAUCCCUUUAUUUUGAAUUGUAGCCAAAGACUAGUGCUAGGUAUGAAGACAAUUUGGUUCAUUAUACUCAAUGAAUUAGGGAGAACAGAACCAGAUAGGAAGUUGAUGGAGUGGACUACAACUAAGGGCUGAACUCUAGCUGCAAAUUAGUUUGGAGAGAAAUUUAUUCACCUUUGAUCCAUUCCUAAUCUGUUGCCAUUUACCUUUUUAUAAGAUACAUAGAGUGCUGCUGAAAUAGUGAGACCCCAGCUGAAUAAAAGGCAGAUGACGGUAAAUCAACACUCUCCCAAGGUUUCUGGAAUUCACUUUUGGCUCGCCACGUUUUUGUGUGUAUUAAGUUCCAGCAAUUUGGCACUGAAGUUGACUAAAACAAACAAUGACAAGGCAUAUGUGGAUGCUGUCCAGUCUAAAUCUGUCUCCCCCCUCACCUUGUUCUCUGUCCUUUGACAGCAGCACCUACUUCCAAUAAGCUCUGCAAGGACAAUUCCAGUGUGUGUAGAUUUUCUGCUCUUUCCCACUGUUUCCUAAGCCAAAAAUGCCCCCACCUCAUACUUUACUACCUUCCUACACCAUCUGUAGCUCUCAGCCCCAAGCCCAGUAGCUCUAACUGACUUAAAUCAUUCAUAUUGAGUCACAAAUCUAUAGUUGACAAGGGAAAGAACCCAUGCUUUCUAAUGUAACGAAAAAGACUACCAGCUAUUGGUUGAAAGUUUUACUUUGAAUCUUAUUUUGUUGCUUUAUUUAUUCUGCUAUAUAAGCAGAAAUGCAGUACCAAAUCACUGUCUUUGAAUGUGCACAUCAGUACACUAAAACAUGUAAAUCUACAAUUUUGUAUUAGCAGUCUGGUUGUAAGCCGUCAUUCCCAGUGAUGAGUAGUAAGUAGUUCAGGUGUAACUGAAAACGUUUUUGCGAAACUGAUUAAUAAUUCUUUUUAGUCUUGUAGGAAUGUAAAAACAAGACAAACCAUUAAGGGAUAGGAAUUCUUUUCAGAAACCUCUAAUCACACAAUAAUUGUCCACCUCCUUCCUAUUUAUUGGGCUCCAAAAACACACACCAGAUCUACUAUGUUGUUGUUCAAGCACAUAGGCAUAAAGUGUGAAACUUGCAGAUGUGGGAACAACACCGACACGGUUGAUGCUUUUAGACAAAUCAUUGCAGUUACUUUAGGCAUGUUGUCCUAACAACUAAUCCAGUCAUAGUAGAGUUUAUGUUCAAUAGUUUUGUUAGGGUCAAGUGUGUGAGACAAAGCUAGUUAGCCUGAUUUAUUUUAUUUUAAGUGUAGUCGUAGAGAAAGCUAACUUUUUAGGGUUUCUUACUGAUUAACAACACCCACAUGUACUACACCGUUAACUUUUCAGAAAUAUAUAUAUAUUCAUUCUGACAAUUUUACAUUGGGGUCUUGUGAUACAUGUUUCUCUACUAACCCAGCUCUAAAGUCAAUCCAUGUAAUUAUCCAUGUGUUAAUGAGGGGAACUUUUAACCAUGUAAGGGCUUUAUUCCAAUGGUCACCUUUAUCUAGUUAUUCACUGCAACCAUAUACAUCCCCAUUGAUUGCUAUGCAUUUUUUUAAACAUUUUAAAUUGUUAUCAAUGCUUUUUCUUGGAAGUGGGAUCAGGAAAUAACAACUUAGUUUGGGGGGGCAAAUAGUUGCAAGACACUGAAUCCCUGCCAGAUCUUAGACAAUUACAAUCACUUAACUAUUAAUUAUCAUUACUAUUAUUAUAAUUAUUAAAUGAGUUUCAUUGUAAAAGCGGUGUACCAGGUUUCUCCUCUGGCACAAACGCUGUUAUCCAAUCAACAGCCAAAACUGUAAGAAUAUGUUUCGUCAAAUGUGAUGUCGUCCACUUCAGUGUGGAUGUUUGGGUUUAUGAAUGUAUUGUGAGGCAGGCUGGGGGUUGAGGUUCAUGCUGCUCUGUGGUUUCAUGUCUGCCAUUAAAAAAAUAAAAAAGUUUUCUGAAUGACUCUUUCCAUGUUAAAGAUACUACUGUAAACUAAUACUGCACUGUAAAUAUAUUGUGAAUAUGAAUGAUAAUUUUCAAGAUAACAUUUACAAAUGUUUGCUGUUAAGGCAUGUGGGAGUUAAUUGAGUGAGCGUGUCGAGGGAAGUUGAUUGUAUUCUCUAUGGAAUGUUUCGUGUAAAAACAAAAAAAGCUAAAAAAAUCCCCUUUACUCCCCACUGCAGUUUGCUGUCAAAUAUACUGUCCAGCACUAUGUGGUUGCCAUCUGCAGAGCUACACGGUGCAGUGUAACGCCAUUAGUGUUCCACCACCACUGCGGUGUCAGUCCAAGUAAACGUGAAAGCAUUGUUUACUGAACUCCGACUUACAUUUUUGCCAUUCUAAAGGAAGAAAUCCAAAGCUGUGACCGACUCUGAAACACACUGUUAAGGACGAGGAAUGCUCCCGUCCACCCUUUCCCCUCUGAGCUCAUACUCCUUCUUUUUUUCCUUUUUUUUUUUAAAAAAGAAGCUUUAAAAAAAGAUGAAAACGCAAGCAUGUUGAAAAGUGCUUCAAGAAGUCAACUUCACCAUGAGUGUUUGCAUAAUCGUAUAUGCCCUUGUAUGAUGUUAGUAUCUCUGUAUGUAAAGAUGUACACAGGUUGAGAGUUUGAAGUCCACAAAAAGCUGAGUUCACUCAGUAAAAGAGUUUCACUUCUACAAACAGUUUUGAUAGGCGGAAAUAAUCUCAUCGCUUAUUGCAACACAGCAAACUGGCAUUUAAAUAAGGAGGGCUGGGUACCAUGUUCCAAUGUAAGUUGCUCUAAUGCUGCUUAUGAGAGUGACUUCAUGCUGAUUCCUUGCAUAACAUGUGGACCAGGCAUGAAAAUAAUGUAUUAACAAUAACUUUAGACUUUUUCUAUUGUACCAAGUGGCAAGGAAUGUUGCUUAUUUAUUUAUUUAUUUCAUUCAUGACCUUUACAUUUCACUAGCAAUAACCGUAUAUGCUAGUUGGAAAUUCAGCUAAGCUAUGUAGCUAACCUAAAUAGCUUAUAUAAUGUAUUCGAAAAAGUCAGGCCAGCCCUGUUGCUUAAUUUGUUUUCAAGUAAUUCAAGUAGGCUACAUGUAGUUAUUGGCUAUGUCCUAUUGGCUAUGUACAUUAGCUUACCUAGCUAUCAAUUGCCUUGAAGGGCUAGUUUGAAACUUAGGUAGCUAACUUAGAUAGCUUAUAUAAUGUAUUCUAAAAAGUCUUAUGACAGCCCUGUUGCUUUAUUGGUUUUUAAGUAAUUCAAGUAGGCUAGAUGUAGCUAUUGGCUAUGUCUUGUUGGCUAUGUACAUUAGCUUACCUAGCCAUCAAUAGCAUUGAAGGGCUAGUUGGAAAGCUAGGUAGCUAAAUUAGAUUGGUUAUUGUUAUCCCAAACGAGCAAAGGCUAGCACUGUUGCUAACUCUGCUUCUAAGGAAGUGAAGUCCAUAGCUAUUGACUAUGUUCUUUACUUUGGCUACAUAAUUAGCGAUGGAUUUCAUGCAUAAUUCUACACAUCAGAAUUGUUCUUUUGAACUAGACAACGAUGCGAUUUUACUUAUAUGUAAAUGUUUUGUUAUAAAUUGUUGUCAAAUACUUUAGGAGUAACAAUAUUAGCAUUGUGUACUCAAAAGGUUGUAAGCAGUUGUAAAUACAGUGUAAGGCUGCCUUACUAGCAGCUGUGCUUCGGUCUAGCUAAUGCUAAAAACAGCCCUUUAACUCAAGAUUUGAAUCAAAUAAUAGAAAAAGAAGACAUGCCUUUAUUUAUCCCACAAUGGGAUACUCACAUUUAAUUUAAUGAGAGCGGCUCUGCCUCUGAAAAUUGUUUGUAGGACUAAAACUUUUUUGGGACCCGGUUUCUUCCUGUGGGUGUCCUCGUCCAGAGCCUGCUGAGUUGUAGCUGGCUGUAUUGUAUUUACUCUCUGCAUGUGACCACAACAAAUUGCCAUCCUGUGCACCGUCACCACGCCAAUGACACCCAUGUUUCUCCGACCGGGCACCGCCCGCCGCACUUACUGUGCUGUGAUGAAGAUUAUGAUGAUGAUGAUGACUUUCUGUUAAUGGGGCUUGUAUAUCAGAUGCCUUCGACAAUCAUGUGCACAUAUCAGAGUUACCAUGACGACACAGGACAGAGCGACUGAUUGUGUCUCUUUUGUCUUUCUCCUGGAAUAAAUCCUGAAUGAUGGUAAU